GAUGAACGCUGGCGGCGUGCCUAACACAUGCAAGUCGAACGGUUAAACCGCCCUCGGGCGGACAUACAGUGGCGAACGGGUGAGUAACACGUGACCAACCUGCCCCGCGCUCCGGGACAACCGCUGGAAACGGCGGCUAAUACCGGAUACUCCGCGGCCCCCGCAUGGGGGCGGCGGGAAAGCCCCGACGGCGCGGGAUGGGGUCGCGGCCCAUUAGGUAGUAGGCGGGGUAGAGGCCCACCUAGCCGACGAUGGGUAGCCGGACUGAGAGGUCGAUCGGCCACAUUGGGACUGAGAUACGGCCCAG
RNAcentral lists this ribosomal RNA (307 nucleotides) under uncultured bacterium. Its description in RNAcentral is "bacterial SSU rRNA". It matches the Rfam family "Bacterial small subunit ribosomal RNA", at positions 28 to 334 of the family's 1533-position model. The record is from RNAcentral.